Molecule: long non-coding RNA, 150 nt
Organism: Xyrauchen texanus (razorback sucker)
Lineage: Eukaryota; Metazoa; Chordata; Actinopteri; Cypriniformes; Catostomidae
Exons: 3
Source: RefSeq, a predicted model, not a curated record
GAAGAACUUGAUCUCCUUGUUGCCUAUUGCUCCGCCAGAUACAGCGGAAAGCUGGAUUGCUCAAUCUGUAGGGUGACGGGGCUUGUGAGGUUGGACAAGCACAUUGAUUCGUCCCAUAGGGAUAUAUCGAGAAAUGAGCGUGCGGAUCUG